This 21-nucleotide microRNA is filed under the name Bombyx mori (domestic silkworm). RNAcentral describes it as "bmo-miR-2789". Lineage: Eukaryota; Metazoa; Arthropoda; Insecta; Lepidoptera; Bombycidae. The record is from miRBase by way of RNAcentral.
GUAGAAAGUUUGGAGGUGGAU